AAGGGAGGAGAGCCUUCUAAAACGCAAAUUUAAUCACACGACUCCCCAGCUUAAAACUCUCAGCUGGCUAUUUCUUCCCCAGCCCCACCCGCAAGAUCUCCUCACACUGGAUUUGGAGUCUCAGCCCCAAAGCAGUUAAGAGACUGGCCCAGGUCUGUCAGCUACAUAGGAACCAUCACAAACUUGACUCACUCAGCGGUUGUGGGACAGGAGCAAUGUCAGUCCUUGAGGAAAACGGAAACAGAGGAAUGCAGAGAAAAACGGAAACAGAGGAAUGCAGAGAAAAGCGGAAACAGAGGAAUGCAAAGGGGAAGGAGGACAAAGAAAGAGAGGAAGAAUCACCUACUAUAUGCCCUUCCUGCAUGUACUGUGUUCAUCUAGUGAGUUAUGAAAAGGAAGGAAGAAGAUCUGAAGGGAGGUAGGACCCAGAGGAGGAUGAGGAGCACAUUCCAGAGGAUUCAAGAACUCUCACAGAGGACCUAAGAGAGUCACAGAUCCAAGACAAAGAAUCCCUCCCCUCCCACCUCAAGCAUUGUUUGUCUUUAGUGAAAUGGCCCUGUCCUAUCAAUCAUGUAUCCUUUUCUUUUCAGUUUCUUCCUGAGUUGGGAAGGAAGUUUUUUAUUUCUGUUUCGGUUUCCGUGGCACUAUCAAGAGAAAAUCAUGUGAA
Long non-coding RNA from Symphalangus syndactylus (siamang), 667 nucleotides. RefSeq lists it as uncharacterized. The record is from RefSeq and is a predicted model, not a curated record. NCBI's taxonomy places the organism in Eukaryota, Metazoa, Chordata, Mammalia, Primates, Hylobatidae.